GUGAUGGGUCGCUCCACCGCGGCGCUUUCGGGCGGCGAGGAAAGUCCGGGCAACACAGAGCACCCUGCUUCCUAACGGGAAGGAUGGGCCGUAAGGCUCAGACAGCCAGUGCCACAGAAAACUACCGCCAGAUGGCAACUGCGUAGAAGAGCAACUAAGUAGCGUAGUAAACUACCUUAUUCAGUCACUCAGCUACUCUGUAGCUCCUGGUAAGGGUGAAAAGGUGCGGUAAGAGCGCACCAGCGGCUAGGUGACUAGUCCGGCUGGGUAAACCUCAGGGGUUGAAAGACCAAAUAAGCGGGCAGGCAGGCUUUCGGGUCUGCACCGGGCGGCUCGUCCGGCGUCCGUGGGUAGGUUGAUGGAGCCUUUUCGCGAGAACUGGCCUAGAUAAAUGGUGGGGACGCGACCUAGGUCGCGGACAGAACCCGGCUUACAGACUCGUCACCCUC
RNAcentral lists this RNase P RNA (449 nucleotides) under Hymenobacter crusticola. RNAcentral describes it as "Hymenobacter sp. MIMBbqt21 Bacterial RNase P class A". It matches the Rfam family "Bacterial RNase P class A". From Rfam's summary of the family: Ribonuclease P (RNase P) is a ubiquitous endoribonuclease, found in archaea, bacteria and eukarya as well as chloroplasts and mitochondria. Its best characterised activity is the generation of mature 5'-ends of tRNAs by cleaving the 5'-leader elements of precursor-tRNAs. Lineage: Bacteria; Pseudomonadati; Bacteroidota; Cytophagia; Cytophagales; Hymenobacteraceae. The record is from Rfam by way of RNAcentral.